GUAGAGGCCCACCUCUCCUUUCCUUCCUUCUCAACAAAAAUCACCAGCUCUUCGUCCAAACACGAAACACCCACGUAGCAAGGAAAGAGGAAGACCUUUUUUUUUUAAUUCUUGCAGGUUUGAUGAUUUCCUGCAAACUUCCUCUUUCUUUUAUGUAGUACUAAUAAUCUUUCUUUCUUGGUUUCCAUAACAAAAAUCCCAAAGAAAAUUCAAGAUUAAUCCCAUAGAGGGUUAUUCAUCCCAUGAGAACAUUGUGUCCAAAUUUGGACAAGGCAGAUGGGUUGGAGACAGUUUUGGAGGUCCCCAUACCAGAGGAGAUGUUUAACAAUAUGGGUAGCAAUGGUGCCUUACAAUGGCGGAAUAUGCGCAAUCUUAUGAGGGCUCAAAGUGCAGACAGAUAUUCUUCUUCUUCUCAUCAUGCCGCUGUAUCAAGUAAUGAUCAAUUCAUGUUCUUGUUUAAAAUCGUUGGCUCUGCUCUUGUCCCUUUUCAAGUUCAAUUGGACCAUAUUGCUGAUAACAUGCCUGUUAGGAAUGGUUCAAUGGAGGCUGCUACUGCUAAAUACAUAGUACAACAAUAUUUGGCAGCAUGUGGAGGGCAGGCGGCGUUAAAUUCGCUAAAUAGCAUGUGUGCAGUAGGGCAGGUGAAGAUGGCUACAUGGGACAUCCAUCAAAGUGGUGGUGACGCCAACUCGAAACGCCAUUGUGAGGUUGGAGCCUUUGUGCUUUGGCAGAAGAACCCUGACCUGUGGGUUUUAGAAUUGGUUGUUUCAGGUUGCAAGAUAAGUGCAGGAAGUAAUGGGAAGGUUGCUUGGAGUCAGUCUUCCUCUACUUCUAGUGCUUCAAAAGGUCCUCCAAGACCCCUUAGAAGGUUUUUCCAGGGCUUGGACCCUAGAUCAACGGCCAAUUUGUUCUUGAAUGCUAUUUGCGUUGGAGAAAAGACUAUUAAGGAUGAAGAAUGUUUUAUUUUAAAACUAGAAUCAAGCAUAGACAUGCUCAAGGCACAAAGUACGGCAAAUACAGAAGUUGUCCAUCACACAAUAUUGGGAUACUUCAGCCAAAGGACAGGGCUUCUGAUUCAAUUUGAAGACACAAAAUUAGUAAGAUUGAAGUCACCAAAGGGGGAUAGCAAUGUCUUUUGGGAAACAAGUAUGGAAUCUAUGCUUGAAGAUUAUAGAUAUAUUGAAGGUAUCAACAUUGCUCACAGUGGGAAGACUGCAGCAACAAUUUACAGAUAUGGAAAGAACAUAGACUAUAGAGCAAAGAUUGAGGAGACUUGGAUGAUUGAAGAGAUUGAUUUCAAUAUAUCUGAUUUGCCAAUGGACUGCUUCUUGCCUCCUGCUGAAUUUGAAGAGCAAGGAAUGGGUUGCUGAUGUGAAAAUUUUCCUUGUAUAUAUAUAGGCUAGAUCUUUUUCUUUUCUUGUCAAGAAGAUUUCAGGGAGCCUUGGCGUAACUGGUAAAGUUGCUGACAUGUUAUCAGGAGGUCACGAGUUCAAGCCGUAGAAAUAGCCUUUUGUAUAAAUGCAGGGUAAGGCUGCGUACAAUAGGCCCUUAUAGUCCGAGCCUUUUCCUGAUCUUGCGCAUAGCAGGAGCUUAGUGCACCAGACUGCACUUUCGUCUGGUAGCAUUACCAUGUUAUAUUAGAGUUAUAUUGACCCACUGGUAACUCAGAGGUUUACUUAGUUGUUGGACUUUCUCUGUUCAACUUUUUUUAUUUUUUGAACUUACAAGCAUCCUUUUGCUUUUAAUAUCUCCCCCCUAAUAUGCUUCUUGCAUCACAUUUUAUCCAUUUUCUUCAAACCAUAAAGAUCUACUU
This is an RNA transcript of Nicotiana tabacum (common tobacco), 1813 nucleotides long. RefSeq lists it as uncharacterized. The record is from RefSeq and is a predicted model, not a curated record. Lineage: Eukaryota; Viridiplantae; Streptophyta; Magnoliopsida; Solanales; Solanaceae.